This 379-nucleotide RNase P RNA is filed under the name Clostridiales bacterium. RNAcentral's name for it is "RNase P RNA component class A". It matches the Rfam family "Bacterial RNase P class A". From Rfam's summary of the family: Ribonuclease P (RNase P) is a ubiquitous endoribonuclease, found in archaea, bacteria and eukarya as well as chloroplasts and mitochondria. Its best characterised activity is the generation of mature 5'-ends of tRNAs by cleaving the 5'-leader elements of precursor-tRNAs. The record is from RNAcentral. Lineage: Bacteria; Bacillati; Bacillota; Clostridia; Eubacteriales.
UGAGUAAGACAGGCGAUCGCAUCUAUUACCAUAGAUGAGGAAAGUCCGAGCUCCGUAGGGCAGGGUGCUGGAUAACACCCAGUGGAGGCGACUCCAAGGACAGUGCAACAGAAAGAUACCGCCCUGCACUCGAUCCAAAUCCAGCUCGUAAGCUGGAUUUGGAUCGAAUGCAGGGUAAGGGUGGAACGGUGAGGUAAGGGCUCACCAGCGUCCAGGCGACUGGAACGGCUAUGUAAACCCCACCUGGAGCAAGACCGAAUAGGGGCAAAAAACGGCUGCCCGCUGUGCCCCGGGUAAAGGUUGCUUGAACCUGACGGCAACGUCAGGUCUAGAUAGAUGAUCGUCCGAGACAGAACUCGGCUUAUGGCUUGCUCAUAGA